UACGAAGGGGGCUAGCGUUGCUCGGAAUUACUGGGCGUAAAGCGUGCGCAGGCGGUUUUGUAAGCCAGAUGUGAAAUCCCCGGGCUUAACCUGGGAAUGGCAUUUGGGACUGCAAGGCUCGAGUGCGGCAGAGGAGACUGGAAUUCCUGGUGUAGCAGUGAAAUGCGUAGAUAUCAGGAGGAACACCGGUGGCGAAGGCGGGUCUCUGGGCAGUAACUGACGCUGAGGAGCGAAAGCGUGGGGAGCGAACAGG
This 253-nucleotide ribosomal RNA is filed under the name uncultured bacterium. RNAcentral's name for it is "partial 16S ribosomal RNA". It matches the Rfam family "Bacterial small subunit ribosomal RNA", at positions 524 to 776 of the family's 1533-position model. The record is from RNAcentral.